GGUUCAGGACGCUGUAUGAUUAAUAGGGAUAGUCGGGGGCGUCAGUAUUCAAUUGUCAGAGGUGAAAUUCUUGGAUUUAUUGAAGACUAACUACUGCGAAAGCAUUCGCCAAGGAUGUUUUCAUUAAUCAGUGAACGAAAGUUAGGGGAUCGAAGACGAUCAGAUACCGUCGUAGUCUUAACCAUAAACUAUGCCGACUAGGGAUCGGACGGUGGUUUUUUUAUGCCCCGUUCGGCACCUUACGAGGAAUCAAAGUUUUUGGGCUCGGGGGGGAGUAUGGUCGCAAGGCUGAAACUUAAAGAGAUUGACGGAAGGGCACCACCAGGCGUGGAGCCUACGGCUUAAUUUGACUCAACACGGGGAAACUCACCAGGUCCAGACAUGCUUAGGAUUGACAGAUUGAUAGCUCUCUCUUGAUUGUAUGGGUGGUGGUGCAUGGCCGUUCUUAGUUGGUGGAGUGAUUUGUCUGCUUAAUUGCGAUAACGAACGAGACCUUGACCUGCUAAAUAGCCCGUAUUGCUUUGGCAGUACGCCGGCUUCUUAGAGGGACUAUCGGCUCAAGCCGAUGGAAGUUUGAGGCAAUAACAGGUCUGUGAUGCCCUUAGAUGUUCUGGGCCGCACGCGCGCUACACUGACAGAGCCAGCGAGUACUCCCUUGGCCGGAAGGUCCGGGUAAUCUUGUUAAACUCUGUCGUGCUGGGGAUAGGGCAUUGCAAUA
This 718-nucleotide ribosomal RNA is filed under the name uncultured fungus. RNAcentral's name for it is "SSU rRNA". It matches the Rfam family "Eukaryotic small subunit ribosomal RNA", at positions 850 to 1591 of the family's 1831-position model. Lineage: Eukaryota; Fungi. The record is from RNAcentral.